Long non-coding RNA from Rattus norvegicus (Norway rat), 2311 nucleotides. RefSeq lists it as uncharacterized. The record is from RefSeq and is a predicted model, not a curated record. Lineage: Eukaryota; Metazoa; Chordata; Mammalia; Rodentia; Muridae.
CCUUCCUUAACCUGUUACCUGUCAGAUGCUUGUUCAAGGCAAGGAGAAAAGCACCUAACUCGCACCUAACUCACAUCUCUACUCCCUUAGCUCUUGCCUUCUACUCUUGGCAGCCUCUGGAUGAUCCCCAUCACUACCGCAGCCUCCCCUUAUCAAAUGCACCCAGGUCAGGGUCUCUUGGGAUACAAUGUGCCUGUCUGUCACCUCUUUAAAAGUCCCAGAGUCACUUCCUGAGUAUAGCGGUACAUGCCUUUAAUCUCAGCAUUUGAGAGAUAGGUAGGCAGAUCUCUGUUAGUAUGAGGCUAGCCUGGUCUACAUAGGGAAGGGGGCAUAUUCAGUGUCCCCAGCAAGGGAGAUAAAGAGAUACACAAAGCCUAGUUGAGCUCUGGACUGAAGAUGGCCUCUAGUCUAAUAGAUGAUGUGGGAGGUAGGGAAGGAUGGGGCAGGGAGCAUUCUUAGGGAGAGGAUGUGGUUCUCCUUGGGUGUCCCAUUGUCCCUGCCCUGGGUGGGGGGUCCUUUUGAUCUCUAGUACAGCCUGGCGAGGCCCCUCCCUUCUCUGCAGAGUAGCAGGCAUCUGGGGUGCACCUGUGCCCGUGUUUGUGUGGAUCCAAGCCUCCUGUCUUCCUGCUGUGCCUGUCUGGGUAGUGAGGGGUGUUUAUAUACAGAAGCCUUGGAUUGUUUGGGUGUGCUCUGGUGGUGGAGUGUGCUGUAGGGGCCCAGUGCCUGCGACUACCAUUGUCUGCUUCUGCCUGCCACUGGGCCUAUGGGUCUGGGUGCCCAGCUGUCUGCAGGGCUGUGGAAGUGUGGGAGGGGAGGCACUCAAGCCCACCAGCCCCUGCCCUUCUCCUUACUCUGCCUGCCAGACUGAGUUCUCAUCACCUAGCAACUGGGGACUCUAGUCAGUGGCAGCCUCUCAGACAAAAAAAAAAAAAAAAAGGUGGUUUCUUGAGGGGAGAGCUUGGAGCUUGGAGGGGGAGGGGAACAUGGAGAGGUGGAGGAGGGGCAUUGUGGAAAUCCCAUUUCAGCUCAGCAGACCCCUCAUCUGUCUGCUGCUCAGUCUUCUGUGUAAACCCUUCCUCAUUUGGGCUUCCCAGGUGGGCAGACGGUAGCUGAGGUCCCAAGUCCUCAGGCGUGCUUACUUCCCACAGAAGCUGCUCCCACCAACUGAGGAGCCCCUGUGGGCUUCCAUGAACCUUAUUUGGCUGGGGUGAAGACAAGAUGGCAGCAUGGGUGUGAACCACUGGGUGUCAUCUGGUUGGCCUUAGAGUAUAAGGCCUUAGACCCUCAGAUCCAGGUCGGCUUUGGAGCACAUUCAGAAGAGGGCAGACCCGCAGGGUGUGGAGGUUUUUGCUUUAUUUCUCCCUCCAGGAUUAGGACUGCCUUCCCUGGAAGCCAGCACCAAGCAGAAGAGGGUCAGUGCUCUCAGGAGCGGGAAAGGGACAAUGCAAGGGCCUCCUCAUGGUUCUUCAUUCAUUGCCCAUUACUUUCCUCUGGAACUCAAGUCUCCUCUCCGAUAUUUUCCUGUUCCCAUGGCGAUCCAAACCAACAAACGGUCUAGCCUCGGGUCUAUUCUGGCUGCCCCAGGAACGCCCCCUCCUGCCCGGUGCGCCUUGUGACUACCUUGCUUGGUUGGUGGUACUUAUUCCUCUCUGAGCGAUCCUACCGCUCAGUGGCUUCGUAGUUCUCCACCCCACCAGCAGAACAGCCCCGGGAUCUAAGAAUAACCAGACUCAUUUAGCACUUACUGCGUGCCAAGCUCCGUGCUGAGUCCUUGGAGUGUUUCAGCUCACUCUGCACUGGAGCAAGCAGACAGCAAGGAGGAAGCAGCGACUCCAUUUUACACUGGAGGCGGAAGGGCUGAGUGCCAGGCCCAUGGCUGCAGAGGAUGCCUGACCCCUCGUGUAGACCACAGGGGGCAGAACUGAAGAUCCUCUGGACACAACACGGUCACUCCAAGUGCUGCCUGGCUUUGGGGUAAGGUCCCCGCUUUUCCCAUGAGCUCGUGGAGGCUGGAGGAGGGGAGCUGUGCUGCUCAGCUUCACGGUUAUGGACGGCACACGCUGAGCCCCAGGCUGUGCCCCAUCUCCUCCACACCCCAGUGGGCAGAGGGCAGCAUUAGUGGUUUGGAUGCUAGGCAGCGGAGUCCAUGUCUGUCUCUGCCACUGACUUCCUUUGAUCAUUUUUAUUCUCGAUAACAAGCAGAGCCGAGCUUUACCCAACACUUACCAGCCGCAUCUCAUUAAUCUUGCAAUAACCCCAUGAGCCAGGUCACGCUAGAUUGAUUGCAGAAAUAGAUCCAAUCAAUGCCUCA